UAGAGGGGUAAAUGAAAUUUAAAGUUUAACUCUUUAUUAACAAAUGUCAUAAUUGAUGGACCUUUUCUUAAUUAGGUGGUAAAGUCCCUACAGCUGUUAAGAUUUUGCCCCAGUCUUUAAAAGGAUCCUAAAGGUUAGGACCCGAAGCUGAGGCUGUGUGAAGAAACAUACAGGUUCAGAAAUCUCUGGUAAUCCAAGAGCCCUUUUCUUCCCCCCAGCAAGAAGAAACCAAAAUCGGGGAAGUUCUUCCUUCCUGACUUCUUGCACAAAUUUAGUGUGGCAAAAAAAGAAAAAAAAAGAUGAACACAGCAGAUGUUGAGGAGAGUGUAGCUCAGUCAGUGAGUAGCACAACAAUAUCUGAGCUGAAUAAUAAAGAUACCCCUUCCCAACCUGCUACCUUGGAGAGAACACUUCAUGAGGAAGAAAAGUGUAAACAAGACAAUAUAAUGGAAUUUAGUUAUAGAAAAAGAAAAAAAAGAAAAACUGAGUUCUCUGACGACCAAUUGAAGAUCCUUGAAGAGCAUUUUAAUAGAAAUCCGUAUAUUGCCUAUGACCAAGCCAAGGUCUUGUCUGCUGAAGUGGGUUUGAGUCCUGUUCAGAUUAGGACCUGGUUUGGUAACCAAAGAUCAAGAAAGAGGAAAAUUAAGGGAUGGCUCAUAACAAGAAACGUUCGAGUAAGUAAACCUUUUGUUAACUGGGGAAAAUAUAAAAAGUUUCAUCAGUGAGGGAACCUCAUAAUAAUUCUUUUUCUCUCUCUUCCCCAGACGAAGCGUGUCCAAGAAAAAAUCCAUCCUCAUUCAAGUGAACGGAGUUCCCAAGCUUGUUCUAGUCCUACAUGCUUGGGUCCCUUUCAACCAAAUAUAGUGGAAAUUGAUGUUUGUAAUGAACAUAAAACUUUUAUUAACCUUUAAAUGCCAACUUUUCUUUUCCCAAUUUCCCAUUAUUCCAGUGGGACUGAAUUUUUGACCAUGUGCAAUUGAACUCAAUAUGAGACCUGUGUCUUAAAGAAAUGUCAUCUGGCUAAAUGUAACUAAAGGAAAUCUAUUUUAUACAAAGGCAUUUGUUGAUCUUAAUUUUUUUUUGGUUUUUUCAUUUGUCAAUUUUUAAAUUUAUUUGGGGAAUAAAAAUAAAAAUUAAUAAUUUGGUUUUGGUUUC
This 1155-nucleotide long non-coding RNA is filed under the name Monodelphis domestica (gray short-tailed opossum). RNAcentral's name for it is "lncRNA (ENSMODG00000046615.1)". Lineage: Eukaryota; Metazoa; Chordata; Mammalia; Didelphimorphia; Didelphidae. The record is from RNAcentral.